UGGAUAGCUCAGUUGGCAGAGCAUGAGACUCUUAACCUCAGGGUCGUGGCUUCAAGCCUCACACUGAACAA
Podarcis lilfordi (Lilford's wall lizard) is the source of this 71-nucleotide non-coding RNA. The record is from the annotation of a GenBank genome assembly. Lineage: Eukaryota; Metazoa; Chordata; Lepidosauria; Squamata; Lacertidae.